Molecule: ribosomal RNA, 443 nt
Filed under: uncultured bacterium
Lineage: Bacteria
Description: partial 16S ribosomal RNA
Rfam family: Bacterial small subunit ribosomal RNA
Source: RNAcentral
CCUACGGGAGGCAGCAGUGGGGAAUAUUGGGCAAUGGAGGCAACUCUGACCCAGCAACGCCGCGUGAAUGAUGAAGGUCUUCGGAUUGUAAAGUUCUGUGAUGGGGGAUGAACACAAUGACGGUACCCCAAUAGCCAGCCACGGCUAACUACGUGCCAGCAGCCGCGGUAAUCCGGAGGUGGCAAGCGUUAUCCGGAAUUACUGGGUGUAAAGGGAGCGUAGACGGCUGUGCAAGUCUGGAGUGAAAGGCGGGGGACCAACCCCCGGACUGCUCUGGAAACUGUAUGGCUGGAGUGCAGGAGAGGUAAGCGGAAUUCGAAGUGUAGCGGUGAAAUGCGUAGAUAUUAGGAGGAACACCAGUGGCGAAGGCGGCUUACUGGAGUGUAACUGACGUUGAGGCUCGAAAGCGUGGGGAGCAAACAGGAUUAGAUACCCCAGUAGUC